RNAcentral lists this ribosomal RNA (484 nucleotides) under uncultured soil bacterium. RNAcentral's name for it is "bacterial SSU rRNA". It matches the Rfam family "Bacterial small subunit ribosomal RNA", at positions 26 to 517 of the family's 1533-position model. The record is from RNAcentral.
AGAUUGAACGCUGGCGGCAGGCCUAACACAUGCAAGUCGAGCGGCAGCACGGGUACUUGUACCUGGUGGCGAGCGGCGGACGGGUGAGUAAUGCCUAGGAAUCUGCCUGAUAGUGGGGGAUAACGUUCGGAAACGGACGCUAAUACCGCAUACGUCCUACGGGAGAAAGUGGGGGAUCUUCGGACCUCACGCUAUCAGAUGAGCCUAGGUCGGAUUAGCUAGUUGGUAGGGUAAAGGCCUACCAAGGCUACGAUCCGUAACUGGUCUGAGAGGAUGAUCAGUCACACUGGAACUGAGACACGGUCCAGACUCCUACGGGAGCAGCAGUGGGGAAUAUUGGACAAUGGGCGAAAGCCUGAUCCAGCCAUGCCGCGUGUGUGAAGAGGUCUUCGGAUUGAAAGCAUUAGUGGAGAGGCAUUAACCAAUACGUUAGUGUUUGACGUUACGACAGAAUAAGCACCGGCUAACUCUGUGCCAGCAGCCG